GACGAACCGUGCGAACGUUAUUCGGAAUCACUGGGCUUAAAGGGAGCGUAGGCGGGCCGCCAAGUCAGGGGUGAAAGCCUCCAGCUCAACUGGAGAAGUGCCUCUGAUACUGGCGGCCUCGAGGGGUGCAGGGGCGUGCGGAACUCAGGGUGGAGCGGUGAAAUGCGUAGAUAUCCUGAGGAACACCGGUGGCGAAAGCGGCGCGCUAGACACCUACUGACGCUGAGGCUCGAAAGCCAGGGGAGCAAACGGG
This 253-nucleotide ribosomal RNA is filed under the name uncultured bacterium. Its description in RNAcentral is "partial 16S ribosomal RNA". It matches the Rfam family "Bacterial small subunit ribosomal RNA", at positions 524 to 776 of the family's 1533-position model. The record is from RNAcentral.